This 465-nucleotide ribosomal RNA is filed under the name Vreelandella stevensii. RNAcentral's name for it is "partial 16S ribosomal RNA". It matches the Rfam family "Bacterial small subunit ribosomal RNA", at positions 338 to 795 of the family's 1533-position model. Lineage: Bacteria; Pseudomonadati; Pseudomonadota; Gammaproteobacteria; Oceanospirillales; Halomonadaceae. The record is from RNAcentral.
CCUACGGGUGGCUGCAGUGGGGAAUAUUGGACAAUGGGGGCAACCCUGAUCCAGCCAUGCCGCGUGUGUGAAGAAGGCCCUCGGGUUGUAAAGCACUUUCAGUGAGGAAGAACGCCUGGUGGUUAAUACCCAUCAGGAAAGACAUCACUCACAGAAGAAGCACCGGCUAACUCCGUGCCAGCAGCCGCGGUAAUACGGAGGGUGCGAGCGUUAAUCGGAAUUACUGGGCGUAAAGCGCGCGUAGGUGGCUUGAUAAGCCGGUUGUGAAAGCCCCGGGCUCAACCUGGGAACGGCAUCCGGAACUGUCCAGCUAGAGUGCAGGAGAGGAAGGUAGAAUUCCCGGUGUAGCGGUGAAAUGCGUAGAGAUCGGGAGGAAUACCAGUGGCGAAGGCGGCCUUCUGGACUGACACUGACACUGAGGUGCGAAAGCGUGGGUAGCAAACAGGAUUAGAUACCCCUGUAGUC